This 497-nucleotide ribosomal RNA is filed under the name uncultured bacterium. RNAcentral describes it as "partial 16S ribosomal RNA". It matches the Rfam family "Bacterial small subunit ribosomal RNA", at positions 28 to 507 of the family's 1533-position model. The record is from RNAcentral.
GAUGAACGCUGGCGGCGUGCCUAAUACAUGCAAGUCGAGCGAACGGACGAGAAGCUUGCUUCUCUGAUGUUAGCGGCGGACGGGUGAGUAACACGUGGAUAACCUACCUAUAAGACUGGGAUAACUUCGGGAAACCGGAGCUAAUACCGGAUAAUAUUUUGAACCGCAUGGUUCAAUAGUGAAAGACGGUCGUGCUGGCACUUAUAGAUGGAUCCGCGCUGCAUUAGCGAGUUGGUAAGGUAACGGCUUACCAAGGCAACGAUGCAUAGCCGAGCUGAGAGGGUGGUCAGCCACACUGGAACUGAGACACGGUCCAGACUCCUACGGGAGGCAGCCGUAGGGAAUCUUCCGCCAUGGGCGAAAGCCUGACGGAGCAACGCCGCGUGAGUGAGGAAGGUCUUCGGAUCGUAAAACUCUGUUAUUAGGGAAGAAAAUAUGUGUGAGUAACUGUGCACAUCUUGACGGUACCUAAUCAGAAAGCCACGGCUAACUACGUG